GUAAAGCGCAUGCAGGUGGUUUGUUAAGUCAGAUGUGAAAGACCCCGGGGCGUCAACCUCGGAAUUGCAUUUGAAACUGGCAAACUAGAGUACUGUAGAGGGGGUAGAAUUUCAGGUGUAGCGGUAGAAAUGCGUAGAGAUCUGAAGGAAUACCGGUGGCGAAGGCGGCCCCCCUGGACAGAUACUGACACUCAGAUGCGAAAGCGUGGGGAGCAAACAGGAUUAGAUACCCUGGUAG
Molecule: ribosomal RNA, 238 nt
Filed under: uncultured bacterium
Lineage: Bacteria
Description: partial 16S ribosomal RNA
Rfam family: Bacterial small subunit ribosomal RNA
Source: RNAcentral